GACGAACGCUGGCGGCGUGCUUAACACAUGCCAGUCGAACGGAAAGGCCCUGCUUUUGUGGGGUGCUCGGGUGGCGAACGGGUGAGUAACACGUGAGUAACCUGCCCUUGACUUUGGGAUAACUUCAGGAAACUGGGGCUAAUACCGGAUAGGAGCUCCUGCUGCAUGGUGGGGGUUGGAAAGUUUCGGCGGUUGGGGAUGGACUCGCGGCUUAUCAGCUUGUUGGUGGGGUAGUGGCUUACCAAGGCUUUGACGGGUAGCCGGCCUGAGAGGGUGACCGGCCACAUUGGGACUGAGAUACGGCCCAGACUCCUACGGGAGGCAGCAGUGGGGAAUAUUGCACAAUGGGCGGAAGCCUGAUGCAGCAACGCCGCGUGCGGGAUGACGGCCUUCGGGUUGUAAACCGCUUUCGCCUGUGACGAAGCGUGAGUGACGGUAAUGGGUAAAGAAGCACCGGCCAACUACGUG
Molecule: ribosomal RNA, 468 nt
Filed under: uncultured bacterium
Lineage: Bacteria
Description: partial 16S ribosomal RNA
Rfam family: Bacterial small subunit ribosomal RNA
Source: RNAcentral